Molecule: ribosomal RNA, 254 nt
Filed under: uncultured bacterium
Lineage: Bacteria
Description: partial 16S ribosomal RNA
Rfam family: Bacterial small subunit ribosomal RNA
Source: RNAcentral
UACGUAGGGGGCUAGCGUUGUCCGGAUUUAUUGGGCGUAAAGAGCGUGUAGGCGGCCAUGUAGGUCCGGUGUGAAAACUCGAGGCUUAACCUCGAGAUGUCAUCGGAAACCAUUUGGCUAGAGUCCGGAAGAGGAGAGUGGAAAUUCCUGGUGUAGCGGUGAAAUGCGCAGAUAUCAGGAAGAACACCAAUGGCGAAAGCAGCUCUCUGGGACGGUACUGACGCUGAGACGCGAAAGCGUGGGGAGCGAACAGG